CGCCUUAGCUCAGUCGGCAGAGCGUUUCACUCGUAAUGAAAAGGUCGCGAGUUCGAUUCUCGCAGGCGGCUCAACCA
RNAcentral lists this transfer RNA (77 nucleotides) under Corynebacterium tuscaniense. RNAcentral's name for it is "tRNA-Thr". It matches the Rfam family "tRNA". Rfam says of the family: Transfer RNA (tRNA) molecules are approximately 80 nucleotides in length. Lineage: Bacteria; Bacillati; Actinomycetota; Actinomycetes; Mycobacteriales; Corynebacteriaceae. The record is from RNAcentral.